CAGCCCAAGGAGUUAUUGGCUUCCAGGACCGGAAGUGCCCCCACCAACAAGGCAACCGCAGGUAGUUAGUUACUCAUUACCUCCCAGGCCCGUGGCCCCUGCGCUCCGAGGGUUCAAACAUGACCUGGACGGAGGGUCUUACAACAUGUGUGAACCUGCAAUAGGUGCUGGGAAAUGGCGCAAGCGGCCCCGCCCCCGGGCGCCUCUGCUCCCCGGGCCCCGCCCGCCCCGUCCAUCCUCUCUCUCGGCCUGUUUCCUUCCCUCUCCUUCCAUUCUCUUUCUUUUGUGUAAAACGGUAAAUCACUGUCACAGCGGAUGGACGUGCUGAGAGCGUCCCCGCCAGGCCCCCUGGGGAGUGAUGCGGGCGCAGUUCCACUCUCCUUCAAGCUGGCGGCAUCGUCCCCUCCCCACUCGGUCAGGCUAAGGGGCUUGCACUUCCCCAGGGGGACCGGCUCACAGGGGCGAGGCUCUCAGACACGGCUUCUUAGGCCUCAGAUUGCGGCCGGGCCUCGGCGUGCUCCUCAGCAUCCUCCUGGUGGAGAGAUUGCCAGCAUUACAUGGGGAGCUCUUUGCAAGCCCCUGUAACAUGGGAAAGUCAUGCACCCAAGGAGAGGUCCAGGUCUCCGGAGUGUGAGGUGCAGCGCCCCCUUCAGGCUCCUGAGCCCUGACGUGGAAGCUGCUCUCACAGGGCGUGGACUGUGCUGCCCGCCUGACACCUGGACCUGCCACCAUCCCCGCCCCACCGCCCUGGCACCUUCCUCCCACCCCAGGGUCUGCCGCCUGGAAACCACCGUUCUCUGGCUCAUUCUUGAGCGUGAACGUUUCUGAAUCUGCCCAACAAGACCACGUCAUUGGGAAACGAAAGCAGCGAAGAGCUGCCUGUCCGGGGCGCAAACAGAGUCUGUUCGCUGCUCAGGGUCCUGGCAGGGCUCCCUUUGCCCGUGGGCCCCUCUGCAGGCGGCUUUCACUGUGUUCUAUUAGAGCAUCACCAGGGAAAUACGGUCUCGCUACCCUGAAGGCGGCUUUCCCUUCCCUCCACCUUCCCCUCGCGUUUGCUGGCCUUUGUUUCACAGGCUCUGGGCCCUGGGAUGACAUGCCUAUCAGCCCUCAGCUCCCUAAAGCCCUCGCCCAUAGCCCGGCCGCUCAGUCAGACGGGGUGACGGGUGACGAGGUCGCUGCUCAGCAGGGGCGUCAUUUUCUUAACUGAGCGUUGCUUGCGGAAAUGGGGACAUGGGUUUUUGAAAAACUGGCAGUCUUCAUUGGACGUCUCCUCAUCAGGCGUGUCCUAAGCUUCAGGAAAAUAUUAGGAGAGAAGCUGAACUCCUGAGUCGGCACUGGGACUCGCCAGAGAUCCGGGCAGAGGUCCGACCCUCUGUGCAUAAACCCCACGGAGGAGCCACACCGUCCUCCCCCCAACAUUGUCCUUCUCCACCUGAUUAGGACCAACGCCUUCCCCGCCGGCCCUGGGAGAGGCACGACGGCAGAGAGCACUGCAGUCUUCUAAGAAGGAAGAGGGGAGCCAGGAUGCUGUAAGUGCUUCCGUGACAUAAAGAGAACCCCCAGGACAGCAACCUGCCGGGAGAGUCUGACCCUGCAGCAUGUCCAGGUCGGGAGCGGUACGGGCCCUGGUGGGUUCAGCCAGCGGGGAAGGGGAGAGCGUGGGCAGGCCGGCCGCCUCCUCUCAGCCUAUGGUCGUCAGCCCUGAUAGAGGCUCCUGUGUGUGACCUGGUCAGAGGCUGGAGGGGCCAGGCCCUUGCGGCCUCCUGGAUGCUCAGGGGAGACCCCCCUUUCUGCACACGGAUACAGCACCAACCAACAGAGGCCCCGCAUCGCCCCUGGACCCCAAGUCCUGGCUCAGUUGUGGAGGUCCCAAGUGAAGUGUGGGGUGGAGGGCAGGAAGCGAGCAUGGCUGUGCGCUCGCGCCUUCCCACCUGCUGAGUGCUGGGCCGGCAGAGGGGGCACGACCUCGUCCAUCCUCAGGGAGCUUUCUACCCGCGGGCGUGGGCAGUGCGGGCUCGGGUGGGCUGGGAACUCGCGGGCCAGGUGGUGGCGGGGUGCGCAGAGGGACUCCAUGCUGACAUGGGUGGAGACGAGACCAGCAGGAAGGAUGAGAAGCAGAAGCACAUCCCAGCAGGACUGAAUGCCCCCAGUCCCGGAGGCAAGCCCUGAAUUUGGGGAUGGAGUCGGGGAAGGUGCCGCAUUUGCUGGUGGACAUCCAGUAGACAGUGGAGCACAGAGGAGGGAACGGGUUUGUUGGGGGACAUGUUAAGUGUGGGAACCUGUGAACGCCCAAGUGGAAAUUUCUAGAAGGCGAUUGGAUAUCUGGGUCUCCCGCAGGUUAGGCCCGAGAAGAAGGUACUAGUAUCACCCUCGUAAUUUACUGAUGAAGAACCAGGAGAGGCUCGGUCCCUGCCCAGUGGCGCACAGCUCGGGAGGCCGGUGAGCAGGGGCACUGGACACAGAGCCCGGCCCUCCCCCCUGGCCUCGCCCGGCUCCCCGGCACCGGCAGUCAGCAACGGCAGCACCCAGAACAGCACCGAGGGCAUCAGCGAGCUCUGGGAUCAUCCCGGACGCCCUGGCCCUGGGGCGGCACCCAGUGCAGACUGCGAACAGGAACCCAGGGCCUCCAGGGCAGCCUGGGCCCGCCCGGGCAGGGACGCUCUGCCUGGCUUUGCCCAUUUCCCGGCCUGGUCCUGGACGCGCCCCUGGAUUGGGCAGAGUUCUGGGGGCUUCUUGUCUUCAGGAUGAACGUGGCCUCGCAGAAGUUAAGCUCCCGGACACACUGACUCUGCAGCUUCUGUCCCCGCCUGCAGGGAGGUCGGCGCUCCCUGUGCAAUGGAAUGCAGCCGCCCCUUGGGCCCGGCCUCGGUCGCCCCUCUGUACUCGCCUUUCAGGACAUCCCUGCGCUCUGCAGCCAGCAGCCAGGGCGGCACCCUAAGCGCUGCCCUUGCGAGCC
This is a long non-coding RNA of Myotis daubentonii (Daubenton's bat), 2956 nucleotides long. RefSeq lists it as uncharacterized. The transcript is spliced from 3 exons. The record is from RefSeq and is a predicted model, not a curated record. Lineage: Eukaryota; Metazoa; Chordata; Mammalia; Chiroptera; Vespertilionidae.